AUGUUUCUCCGAGGGCAAGAGGGAGCACAGAAAAUAGGGAAAACUUCAACUACCCCACAGGCCCUGGAGAGAGAUCGUUUUGGCUCAAUUACUCCAAAGUACCCUGCUGGUUCUCUAGAGGUACAAACGCAAAAGUCCAGUCAGAACCCCGAGAACACCGUGUUCUCAAAAAGGGAUGUUGCCACUCUGACUGAGCCCAUUUCCGGAGUGGCUAAGGUAUCAAGGCCACGGAGACACUGGGGAGAGACGCCGGAUCGCUGGGGAGGCCCUCACAGAGAUCACACCAGUUCUGAUGAGGAGAUAGAGCUCCUAGAGAAAGAGAGGCACACAAAUGUACAGGAAGACACGGGCAAAACCAGGAGAGGAGGAAAAUAUGACAACAGCUCUCACAGUCUACAAGCACCGACUCCAGCGCAAAGCAGAUCUGUCAACGAGCAGAACAUGACUGAGUUUGCAACAGGACUCAUGAUUGGUAAGACAAUGCGUGUUGGGUCAAAUCAAACUGUAUGUAGAAUGUAUAUAUAA
This is a long non-coding RNA of Cyprinus carpio (common carp), 525 nucleotides long. Lineage: Eukaryota; Metazoa; Chordata; Actinopteri; Cypriniformes; Cyprinidae. The record is from Ensembl.